GACGAACGCUGGCGGAGUGCUUAACACAUGCAAGUCGAACGGAAAGGCCCUGCUUUUGUGGGGUGCUCGAGUGGCGAACGGGUGAGUAACACGUGAGUAACCUGCCCUUGACUUUGGGAUAACUUCAGGAAACUGGGGCUACUACCGGAUAGGAGCUCCUGCUGCCUGGUGGGGGUUGGAAAGUUUCGGCGGUUGGGGAUGGACUCGCGGCUUAUCAGCUUGUUGGUGGGGUAGUGGCUUACCAAGGCUUUGACGGGUAGCCGGCCUGAGUGGGUGACCGGCCACAUUGGGACUGAGAUACGGCCCAGACUCCUACGGGAGGCAGCAGUGGGGAAUAUUGCACAAUGGGCGGAAGCCUGAUGCAGCAACGCCGCGUGCGGGAUGACGGCCUUCGGGUUGUAAACCGCUUUCGCCUGUGACGAAGCGUGAGUGACGGUAAUGGGUAAAGAAGCACCGGCUAACUACGUG
This 468-nucleotide ribosomal RNA is filed under the name uncultured bacterium. Its description in RNAcentral is "partial 16S ribosomal RNA". It matches the Rfam family "Bacterial small subunit ribosomal RNA", at positions 28 to 507 of the family's 1533-position model. The record is from RNAcentral.